RNAcentral lists this ribosomal RNA (497 nucleotides) under uncultured bacterium. RNAcentral describes it as "partial 16S ribosomal RNA". It matches the Rfam family "Bacterial small subunit ribosomal RNA", at positions 28 to 507 of the family's 1533-position model. The record is from RNAcentral.
GACGAACGCUGGCGGCGUGCCUAAUACAUGCAAGUUGAGCGCUGAAGGUUGGUACUUGUACCAAAUGGAUGAGCAGCGCACGGGUGAGUAACGCGUGGGGAAUCUGCCUUUGAGCGGGGGACAACAUUUGGAAACGAAUGCUAAUACCGCAUAAAAACUUUAAACACAAGUUUUAAGUUUGAAAGAUGCAAUUGCAUCACUCAAAGAUGAUCCCGCGUUGUAUUAGCUAGUUGGUGAGGUAAAGGCUCACCAAGGCGAUGAUACAUAGCCGACCUGAGAGGGUGUGCGGCCACAGUGGGACUGAGACACGGCCCAAACUCCUACGUGAGGCAGCAGUAGGGAAUCUUCGGCAAUGGACGAAAGUCUGACCGAGCAACGCCGCGUGAGUGAAGAAGGGUUUCGGAUCGUAAAACUCUGUUGGUAGAGAAGAACGUUGGUGAGAGUGGAAAGCUCAUCAAGUGACGGUAACUACACAGAAAGGGACGGCUAACUACGUG